GAUGAACGCUGGCGGCGUGCCUAAUACAUGCAAGUCGAGCGAACGGACGAGAAGCUUGCUUCUCUGAUGUUAGCGGCGGACGGGUGAGUAACACGUGGAUAACCUACCUAUAAGACUGGGAUAACUUCGGGAAACCGGAGCUAAUACCGGAUAAUAUUUUGAACCGCAUGGUUCAAACGUGAAAGACGGUCUUGCUGUCACUUAUAGAUGGAUCCGCGCUGCAUUAGCUAGUUGGUAAGGUAACGGCUUACCAAGGCAACGAUGCAUAGCCGACCUGAGAGGGGGAUCGGCCACACUGGAACUGAGACACGGUCCAGACUCCUACGGGAGGCAGCAGUAGGGAAUCUUCCGCAAUGGGCGAAAGCCUGACGGAGCAACGCCGCGUGAGUGAUGAAGGUCUUCGGAUCGUAAAACUCUGUUAUUAGGGAAGAACAUAUGUGUAAGUAACUGUGCACAUCUUGACGGUACCUAAUCAGAAAGCCACGGCUAACUACGGG
Molecule: ribosomal RNA, 497 nt
Filed under: uncultured bacterium
Lineage: Bacteria
Description: partial 16S ribosomal RNA
Rfam family: Bacterial small subunit ribosomal RNA
Source: RNAcentral